GGCCUCGUGGCGGAGUGGCUACGCAGAGGACUGCAAAUCCUUGUACGGGGGUUCGAUUCCCUCCGAGGCCU
Methylocystis sp. is the source of this 71-nucleotide non-coding RNA. NCBI's taxonomy places the organism in Bacteria, Pseudomonadati, Pseudomonadota, Alphaproteobacteria, Hyphomicrobiales, Methylocystaceae. The record is from Rfam.